Vidua chalybeata is the source of this 2675-nucleotide long non-coding RNA. RefSeq lists it as uncharacterized. The record is from RefSeq and is a predicted model, not a curated record. NCBI's taxonomy places the organism in Eukaryota, Metazoa, Chordata, Aves, Passeriformes, Viduidae. The transcript is spliced from 2 exons.
UUUUGUUUAUUUAUAACCACUACUCCACUCAUUAAUUCCUGCUCCAGUGAAAGUUUGUACCUUAUUACCGAGCUGGGCUUUACUGACUUCAACUUCCACCUCCUGGAUCUCACUCAGUCGUUUUCUUUCCCAGGGAAAAGGCCCGGUCUUUGUCUCCAGGGGUCUGUGGCCCUGAGUGGGCGGCCGCCUCCAAAAAAUCCCAACCACCAAGGAUAUGUCCCAGACCCAAGCUGCCCCCACCUCAAACCUGUGCUGCCGUGACAGUCCCAAGGGAACCCUACAAACUGACAUCAGGAACCUGGGCUGGCCACUUUUCUUUCCCAGGGAAAAGGGCCUGUACUCUCCAGGUGAGUGAGGUGGGAGCAGGUUGGCUCUGGGACACAUUCUUGGUCGUUCGGAUUUUUUGGAGGGGGCCGCCCACUCCGGGCCAGCCUGUCCCUUGCUCUUCCCAGGAGGUGGCAGUCACUUCCCAAGAUGCAGGGACGAAAGGGGAGUCCCAGAGAGGAGAUCUGGAGCUGGGCUGGGUGUCACAAGAGUGCUCUGGGUAGCCAGGCUGGUGGCAGGGCAGGUGGCCGGGGGGAUUUGGGGAUACGGUCGGGUGGGCUUGCACCAAGCCAGGGGACUGUGGUGCAGCCACACCUGGAAUCCCAGGAGUGGCAGGAGUGUGACCAGUGAGUCACGUUGUGUCCCAGGGUGGGAACAGGGAGCUCCUGAGGUGGACCUGAGGACACUGAGUCACGAGGGUGCUGUUCCACAAAGGACACUGAGUCACGAGGGUGCUGUUCCACAAAGGUGAUGAGUUCCAGAGGUGCUGUCCCAGGAGGGACGCUGAGUCACCGGCCUGAGGUGUGCCAAGGCGUCAGUGAUGUCAUGGCACUGCCUGUGGGAAUGGGAACAGGGAGGCAGCACCAGGGGAACCCACCUGGCUGUGAGGGAAAGGAGAUGGGUACAAGAGGUGAUGGGGUGUGACAGAAACGGGGGACGUGUGGUGGGUGGGACCUGAGGUCUCUGGGUGUGUUGGAUAUGGUUGGGAUGGGAAGCCCCCAGUCAGGGGAAAGGAGCAGGUGACAAUGGAGACAGGAUGGAACAAGGGGGAAGGGGGACAAGGAGCGAGCUCCAUGAGCUGGGGGUGUGGAUGUGGUUUGUGGGGCUGCUCAGAGGUGAGGAAGAGGCUGAGCUCAGAUGAGAACUGCAGCCAGACCACACACUGUGAAUGGAGCCACUGGCAUUUGGGAUGGGGAUAAAGAGAAAUGGAAAUGUCACCAGUGUGGGAGCACCAUGCCCCUGAGGUGCUGUGGAGUUGAGGGGCAGAGGGGUUGUGGAGCUCUGUGCACCAGGAGCACAAAGGGAGGGUGCAGUCCAUACGCUGGGAGUUCAGGGAGAAGGAUCAAGAAGGAUUUUGGAUGCAAGAGGGAUGGAAGCACCACGCACUGGGGGUGCGGGAGGGAGGGGAGCACCGCACAUUGGGGCUGCAGGGAGGAUGCAACGCAGGCGACGCACCUGCAGAGGCUGGGACUGAUGCAGGAGCACAGCGGCCAGGGAACGUUCUCAGCAUGGCAGGGACGUCCCUCUGCCAUGGCCCAUGGCCAGUGCCCUGCGGGGUGACAGCCACAGUCAGGGAAUACCCCAGAUCCCGGGGGCUCGUGGGACAUGGGCAGGGUGGCCCGCUGGAGGCAGCAAAGCCCUUCCCAGCCCCCUGAAUCGGUUCCGUGAGCCGCUCCCGCCGCGCCACCAGCUCCGAUCUCCGUCCAGCUCCGUGCCGGCAGCGCUGAUUUACAGCUCAGCCCCUCCUUUUCACCUGGCCCGGAGCUGUGCAGGCAAUGGAACCAGGGCAGGAGGGUUGGUGACAGCAGCCCCGGGCACCAUCAGUCCCAACAACGCCGAGAUUUGCAGACUCAAAAGUCGGGCAGGAGCCCAGCAACCCAGGCGAGCUCAUGCUCAGAUGAGUGGGGCUCAAGGGGCAAAAUCCACAGUCCUUGAAGACCAGAGGGAUGGGGGUUAGGGGAAAAGUGGACAGAUUCCAGUCACGUUUGGAUGCUGGGAAAGGAAAAUGCUCUGUCCUCUAAGGAUGUGAGUGCAGAGCAAUCCCACCCAGGGUGUGUGAAACUCCACCAGCCACCCCAGCCCUGUCCUGCUGUCAGGACAGUCCCCCAGUCCUCCAGUCACCUCCUUGGCCAUGGAAAGAUUACAGAAUCGUUAAGGCUGGAAAAGCCCUCUGAGGUCAUAGAGUCCAACCAUUCCCCCAGCACUGCUAUGGCCACCACUGCCCCAUGUCCCCAAGUGCCACAUCUGCAGGGCUGUUAAACCUCCUCCAGAGAGGCUCUCCAGAUGCCACCUGGCUGUCACCCCACGGGGUCUUCCUUCCCUGCUCUGCCCAAUUCUGCACCCAGCAGAGCACUCCACCUCCACCUUAUGUGGCUCAAGUGCCCCAUGGGAUGGUUGUCCAUGCUUUCCCAGCUCAGGAAAUGCAGCAGAGAGCUCAGGGGACCAUGAAGAGUCCUUUCCCAGAGCUGGAAAUGUCUUGGGAUGCCCUGAAGACAAUCCCUGCUCCUGCACCACCAAGAAACUGCAGUCAGGACAGAAGCACAGAGAUGCAGCUCAUGACCCUGACAGCCUCCAGUGACAGUUACCAUGACUAUCCCCAAAAUCCUCUGAGCCAGAAGAUGCCAAGUUCA